Molecule: long non-coding RNA, 5151 nt
Filed under: Erythranthe guttata (spotted monkey flower)
Lineage: Eukaryota; Viridiplantae; Streptophyta; Magnoliopsida; Lamiales; Phrymaceae
Description: long non-coding RNA (EGUT_LNC003357)
Source: RNAcentral
AAUGGCUGUACAAAAAAACUUAUGGCAACAAAAAGAAUUUGCCUCCAUCACCACCAAAGCUGCCGAUACUCGGAAAUCUCCACCAACUCGGCUUAUUACCUCACCGCAAUCUCCAAUCCUUAGCGAAAAAAUACGGACCGAUCAUGCUUCUCCACUUCGGCAAUAAACCUACGCUUAUCGUCUCGUCGGCCGAUUCAGCCCGAGAGAUAAUGAAAACGCAUGACGUCAUCUUUUCCGAUCGGCUUGAAUCAAGUGUCGGUAAGCGGCUACUCUACAAUUGUAAAGACGUAUCCAUCGCUCCGUACGGCGAAUACUGGAGGCAGCUGAAGAGUAUAUGUGUUCUUCAACUGCUUAGUAACAAAAGGGUUCAAUCUUUUCAUUACAUCAGGGAGGAAGAAACAGCCCUUUUGAUGAAAAGGAUCAAAAGAGAAUAUCCCACCGGUUCGAUCGAUUUGAGUGAGAUGCUUACUCAGUUUACUAAUGACGUGGUUUGUAGGUCAGCUUUCGGGAAGAAGUAUAGUGCAGUGGAAAAUGGCAAGAAAUUUAUUUUACUGUUGAAGGAAUUGUUGGAGCUUUUGGGGACUAUUAGUAUCGGAGAUUUUGUUCCGAUGCUUUCGUGGAUUAAUCGAGUCAACGGUUUCGAUGCGAGGGUUGACAAGGUUGCGAGAGAAUUUGAUGAAUUCUUCGAGGGAGUGAUACGCGAGCGCAUGGAAAAUCCGAAGAAAUUACAUGGAGAUAAUUUUCUUGAUAUUUUGCUUCACAUUUAUCAGAAUAAUUCCACCGGAGUAACGAUUGACAGGGACAGUAUCAAAGCAAUAAUUCUUGUAAGUACAUUUGGUUUUCGGGUUUAUUGCAUUCAACACCCCUGUUUUUUUUUUCGUCUAAUUGCUAAAAAAAGCUUUCCGUACGUAAAUAUUUACAAAAUCCUCAUGAGAUGCAUCUUGUUUUGAAAACUUCACCCCUAAAAACUCACAAUUUAGGGGGUUGUGUGCUAAAAUAUAUACAUCAUAGGGGGAUUUUUGCUAAUAUUUAUAACAUGAAGAGUUUUUUUAGUAAUUUAAUAUAACUUUAGGGGUAUUAAAUGAAAUAAACUCUUAGUUUUUAUAGGAUAGUUAAUUACAUUUUUAGUCCUAUACUAGUACCUUAAUUGAUUUCAGUUCUCAAACAAAUUUGGCCGCAAUAUUAGUCUUUAAACUUGCCGUUUUUUUUUACAUUUUCCGUCAUGCCGUCAACUUCUUGAUUAAAAUGGACAGAAUCAUCACGUGAUGUCAGGAUAAUUACAAUAUUUGGUCCUUAUGCUAUAUCAAUUAUUCGAUUUUCGUCUCUAUACAAUUGAGAUCACGAUUUUAGUAUUUACUGUCGACAUGUCCUUUACAGUUUUCGUCGGCUGUCUUUUUGUGGAGUUAAAUUCGACAGCAAAUAUUGCGUGUUUUGCGCGUGUCACCCAUUCCAACACCCAUCUUACAUAUAUUCUUGAUUUCGCCCCAAUAUAUUCCUAUUUUUUUUGAAAUUGAAAGUGUGCACCUCACGUGACAAUUUCGUCCAUUGUAACCAAGAACGUUGACGACGGCUUGACAAAAGUGUAAAAAAAUGGCAUUUUUAUCAUGGUCAAAAAUUGUUCGAGAACUGAAAUCGUUUUAGGUGCUAAGUAUAGUAACUGAAAAUAUAAUUUAUCCUUCUAAUCACAUAAUUACAAUAUACAUUUUUUUCUUGUCACAUGUAUUCUUCGACAGGAUGUAUUUGCAGCUGGAACCGACACCACGUCGACACUUCUAGAAUGGGAAAUGACGGAACUCUUACGAAACCCUACGAUCAUGAAAAAAUUGCAACACCAAGUACGAGAAGUAGUUAAAGACAAAAACGGCAUAAUAACGGAGAACGACCUGGAAAAGAUGCCUUAUCUCAAAGCUGUAAUAAAAGAAACUCUCCGCCUCCACGCACCGAUCCCAUUGCUACCUCGGGUAGCAAGAAAAUACGUAAAAGUUAUGGGGUACGAUAUUUCAGCCGGAACAUUGGUGAUGACUAAUGUUUGGGCCAUCGGCAGGGACCCUGCCAGCUGGCAUGAGCCGGAAAAGUUUGAUCCCGACAGGUUUUUUGAUUCCAGGGUGGAUUACCAGGGCCUGGAUUUUGAGCUUAUCCCGUUUGGCGCCGGAAGAAGGGGUUGUCCUGGAAUUUCGUUCGCUACGGCUACUAAUGGUUUCUUGUUGGCGAAUCUUGUGCGGGAAUUCGAUUGGGCGUUGCCUGAUGACGUGGAGGAUUUGGAUAUGAGUGAACGCCCUGGUGUUGCUAUUCACAGGGCUGUUCCUCUUGUUGCAGUUGCCAAACAGUACUACUAUGUUUAAUUGAGGAAAUCAUUUAUCUCAAAUUUACUUGCUUAUUACUUGUUUUAUUAUGAGUAAAAUGCAGAAAAAAAAUGUGGAAUUCGUAAAGGUCAAAAAACCCCUUGGAAAAGAAUUAAGUAGCAAAAACAACUUUGUAAUCGGUGGUCAAAGGCAAACAACCCCUUCGCGCUCGUCCGUGUCAUUCACUCGCUGUUUGUGCGACUGCUCGUCGGAAGUGAUGCUACGGUGGCGCCAGCGAUCGAGGAAAAGUGAAUGCGUGGCGGGAACGAUUGAGAAUAGAGGGAAAACAAGAUGGGGCGGGGGUGGUGGAGUUUGCUGCCUCAAAAUGCACAUCUAAAAAAUGGUGUGUGACAUGGCGGUGGCUAUGGAGGAGGGCUACGGAAAUGAGUAAUAUGCAAAAAAUACCAAUUUGUAAUUUCCAAAUAGCAAAAAAAAAAAACCUGUGAUAAAUAAAGUAGCAAAAAUCCUCCUAGAAAUUUAGUAAAAGACAGAAACUUCCUGGUUGACUUUCGUGUGGCUCACUUGCUGGAUGUGCGGCUGGUAGCUGAUUUUUGGACGUGAAAUGACGAAAUUGUCCCUCAAAAUGUAUUUAUAUGUAUAUAUUUUUUUCUUUUUAAUUUGAUUGUUUAGAAAUAAAAAUCUUAUUAAAGAAAUUGUGAACAAUUAAAUUGAAAAAAUAUUAAAAAUUUGGUAAUAAAAUGAAUUAUAGGUUAUUUUAAAUACAUAAUAAUGGAUAUUAAGUUUUGUUUUAAUGUAGGGAUAAUUUAAAAUAUAUACAGACAUUUUCAGGUAAUAAAAAUAGAAAUAAAUUAAAGACCCUAUUGUACCUUUAUAAUUAAGAUAUAACAAAAAUAAAAUAAUUAAAAUAUUUGUAAAAUAUAAGAAUUUAUUAAUUUUUAAAACUCUGGGGUAUUUGUGUCUUUUUAUAUCAAUUCAACACUCAAAUGAAUAAUUGACCGAAUGUGCUAUAUAAAAAAAUUCACGGGGUUUUUUUGCUAGUUUAUUUAUCACAGAUUUUUUUGCGGUACUUUUGCGGUUUACUCCUAAGGAAAUGGUGGCUAGUUGCAGAUUUAAGAAUAUUAUUACUUUGUGUUUUUGGGUUUCAAUGUGAGAGAGGGCUUUAAUAAAAAUAUCAGGGACUGAAUUGAAAAUUUUAAAAACUUCAUUUUGGGACAAACAAAAAUUCUGGGGUGAAUCUAUAAUUUUCAAAAUUUCUGAUCCAAAGGGUAUUGAUCCAUUGGAUAUUUUCGAUUAAAAUUUUAUUUCUUUGGAGGGUUUUUUCUGUCUGCACUACACCUUUCUUCUGUCUGGCUAUUUUUUCCUAUAUUUUAUUCUAUUUCACCACUUAAAUCAAGAAAUGUAUUUUCUAUAAUAUGCGACAAAAAAAAAAAAAAAAAUCAAAGAUAUUUGAUAUGAUGAUACCAUCAAAAUAUGUGCACAAAUUUCUUUAUUAUCUUAGUUGGAUCCAUUCGAUACGUUAACAUCAUACAACGACGUGCACCACAUUUAAUUAACUCAUUUUGUCAAUAUAUUCAUCAAUAUCCAUUCACGAGAAUAGAAUAAUAUUAUAUAUUUAUUAGGACAGACCAAAUCAUCUUUUGCAACUUUAGAUACGACAACAGCUGGACAAGGGACUUCAGAAUAAAUGAUUUUUUUUUUUUUUUUUAAUCUGCACUUCGGAAUAAUUUAAUUUACCCAUAAACAAAAACUUAAUUCACCCAUAAUUCCAUCGGAUGACCGCAUGAAUUUCGACCAUAGAUUUACACAUAAUCAUAUGCAUAUGUAUAUGCGUGCUUAAUAAGUGAUUAUUUAAUUAAAUUUACGAUUAAAAACCACCACAGCGUAAAUAAUCAGGUGUAACAUCUAAUUCCCCUUUCGCCGAGUCCCACACACGUAUAUAUAUAUAUUAAUAAUAAUAAUAAGUUUGCCAGAAAAUUUCCUUUCUAACAAGUGGAACAACUUUUGAAAUUCUGGGCAAUUUUGCACCAAGUCAGCUCUUUGUAUGAGCAAACAAACACACACCACACACUUGACACCCACAUGCACAAACACUUUGAGAUAAGCUCGUACGCACAAAACAUAACAUAUGAGAAAAAUAUAAGUUCUUGUCCCUCAAGUUUACACAUAAUUCAUAUUUGGUUCUUGUGUUCACAAAUAACACAUUUGGUCCCUCUUGUUUAAAAAAUUCAACAUUUUAAGUUAUUCCUCUCAAUUUUCCGUUAAAACUAUGAAAUCAAGCGUGUGUCCAUCAAUGAAUUAACUGACAUACUAACGGUAAAUUGACGGAGAUUACCAACAGCGUUAAAUUAUUAAAACAUAGAUGACCAAAUGUAUUUUUUAUGAACAUAGGAGAUCAAAUGUGCAAUAAGUGCAAACUUGAGGGAUAAAAACUGUAAUAUUUGCCAUAAGAUAUACAUAACUAAAUCAUGUCCAUAUUCCAUCUUCACAUACAGCAAAAAAUUCAAGAAAUAAUGCAAUUCCAUCCCUUCACAUUAAUAAUCCAAGCUCUCCUAUCUUUAUUCUUGAUCUCUUACAUCACAAAAUGGCUGUACAAAAAAACUUAUGGCAACAAAAAGCAUUUGCCUCCGUCACCGCCGAAGCUACCGAUACUCGGAAAUCUCCACCAGCUCGGCUUAUUACCUCACCGCAAUCUCCAAUCCUUAGCGAAAAAAUACGGACCGAUCAUGCUUCUCCACUUCGGCAAUAAACCUACGCUUAUCGUCUCGUCGGCCGAUUCAGCCCGAGAGAUAAUGAAAACGCAUGACGUCAUCUUUUCCGAUCGGCUUGAAUCGAGUGUGAAUAAACGGUU